RNAcentral lists this ribosomal RNA (270 nucleotides) under uncultured microorganism. RNAcentral's name for it is "partial 16S ribosomal RNA". It matches the Rfam family "Bacterial small subunit ribosomal RNA", at positions 346 to 603 of the family's 1533-position model. The record is from RNAcentral.
GUGCAGCAGUCGCGAAUAGUCUACAAUGGACGAAAGUCUGAUAGUGCGACGCCGUGUGUGCGAUUAAUUCCUCCGGGAUGUAAAGCACUUUUCUAUGAGGUAAAAGCUCUUUAGGUUAAUAGCUUAUUGAGACGGAUAUUAUUAUAGGAAUAAGCUCCGGGCUAACUCCGUGCCAAGCAGCCGCGGUAAUACGGAAGGAGCGAGCGUUGUCCGGAUUUACUAGGCGUAAAGGGCUAAGUAGGCGACUAAUUAAGUUAUAUGUUAAAUCCC